CAGCUUUUAAGAUUCUUUCCAGCUUUAUGCAGUGAUAGAGGCCAAGGCAUUCAGGAGUGGAGUUGAUCAAGGUCAGGAUUUGUCUUCUUUCAUAAAUCGUGUAGGCAAGAGCAAAUGACACGAAACCCAGAAUAACCAAAUGUUGGGAGUAGGAAGAUAGAAAACAUUGCUGAGUCCAGGGAGUGGAGAAGAGGUAAUAACUAGCAGGUAGUCACCUGGACAGAGGCAUGAAAGAGGAAAUAUUUAAGCCAGAAGGAAUCUGAGGUAGAAACAAUUAAAGCAGAAACCACGGUAUACAGAAGACUCCGGCAGUGUUUAAGAAGUUUCUUUGGCCCAGGGGCAUCAAUAAUGAUAAGACAUUCAGAAAACUCUUCAAGACCACUGUUUUCAAAAAAGGGGGAGUUGCAGAGAGGAUUUGGGGCACAACUGAAAAUAAGUUUCAGAAGCUUACAAGUGCACAAAAAUGUUUCCUGCCGCCCCCACCAAGAUGGAACAGGGACAAGAAGAACUGAUCUGCAUCAUCCUCUAGAUUCUGUGUGCGCUUCCUGAUCCAUGCCUCCAAAUGACAAGGGUUACAGGCAUGCAGCAAUGAAUGUAGGCAAAAUCCUUUCUGUAUCUAAUUCAAAACACCAGUACCCCCAGUCUAGCAAAGGAAGUGAGAAUGCCCCAACCACUCUAAUCAGGGACAUGGACAGUUCUCCCAGCAGAAGUAAUGAGGGCCUCCUCUUGAGUCAAGAAGAUACUAUCUUCCCUCUGAAUCCACAAAAUGAAUCCACAAAAGCUCUAGUAGCUAAUUUUUCCUUUCAUUAAAAUAAAACAGGUGGUACAGUAAGUAAAGAGCUUAUCAAUUGCACAUUAAACUAGAGGUAAUGGGUACUGUACUCUCUGUAUUACGUUUUCUAUUGCUGUGUAACAAAUUACCCCCAAACACAGUAGCUUGGCACAGCAAAUGUGUGUGACCUCUCACAGCAUCUGAGGGUCUGGAAACUAGUAAGGUGGGGCUGACUCAGGGGCUCUCACAAGGUUGCUGUCAAGUCAGGGCUGCAGUCACCUGAAGGCUUGACUGGGGCUGGAGGAGCCACUUCCAAGUGUGCUCACAGUGUUCAUGGCUUCAGGCCCUCACUGGCUGUUGGCUAGAGUCCCCAUGGCCUCUCCAUAGACUGUCUGCAUGUCCUUUUGACAUGAGAGCUGGCUUGAGAAUUAGUGAUCUGAUAGAUGAGGGGAGAGAGAGAGAGAGGGAGAACAUGAGAACUAAUCUUAAAAAUAAACUCCACUGGGUUCUGCUGUGUCCUAUUGGUCACAUAGAUCAACUCUGCCACAGUGUGGGAGGGGACUACACCAAGGGUGAACACCAGGAGGUGGGGACCAUCACAGGCCAUCUUGAAGGUCACUGACCACAUUCCCCAAUCAAAGGCCUGCCUCCCCAACACAGCCCACCACCACUACCUCAGUCAGAGAACUGGGGACUCAGGAACUUAAAGCCAUCUCAAAGAAAUACAGUUGGGAGACCAUGGUUGCAAAUGAGUCCACGAAAGCUCUAAUAGCUAAUUUUUCCUUUCAUUAAAAUAAAACAGGUGGUACAGUAAGUAAAAGAGCUUAUCAAUUGCACAUUAAACUAGAGGUAAUGGGUACUCUAUAACUCAUUUCCAUUUCAUUGUGCUUUGCUUACUAGAAGCUUUCAGAUUUC
Molecule: long non-coding RNA, 1687 nt
Filed under: Homo sapiens (human)
Lineage: Eukaryota; Metazoa; Chordata; Mammalia; Primates; Hominidae
Description: HSALNT0199335
Source: RNAcentral